AGUGAACGCUGGCGGUAGGCCUAACACAUGCAAGUCGAACGGCAGCACAGUAAGAGCUUGCUCUUACGGGUGGCGAGUGGCGGACGGGUGAGGAAUACAUCGGAAUCUACUUUUUCGUGGGGGAUAACGUAGGGAAACUUACGCUAAUACCGCAUACGACCUACGGGUGAAAGCAGGGGAUCUUCGGACCUUGCGCGAUUGAAUGAGCCGAUGUCGGAUUAGCUAGUUGGCGGGGUAAAGGCCCACCAAGGCGACGAUCCGUAGCUGGUCUGAGAGGAUGAUCAGCCACACUGGAACUGAGACACGGUCCAGACUCCUACGGGAGGCAGCAGUGGGGAAUAUUGGACAAUGGGCGCAGGCCUGGUCCAGCCAUACCGCGUGGGUGAAGAAGGCCUUCGGGUUGUAAAGCCCUUUUGUUGGGAAAGAAAAGCAGCAGGUUAAUACCCCGCUGUUCUGACGGUACCCAAAGAAUAAGCACCGGCUAACUUCGUG
RNAcentral lists this ribosomal RNA (492 nucleotides) under uncultured bacterium. RNAcentral's name for it is "partial 16S ribosomal RNA". It matches the Rfam family "Bacterial small subunit ribosomal RNA", at positions 29 to 507 of the family's 1533-position model. The record is from RNAcentral.